This 52-nucleotide small RNA is filed under the name Arabidopsis thaliana (thale cress). RNAcentral describes it as "ATSL094420". Lineage: Eukaryota; Viridiplantae; Streptophyta; Magnoliopsida; Brassicales; Brassicaceae. The record is from RNAcentral.
UGUAAAAAAUAUAGCCAUGCGGUACACCGCGGGUUAAAUUCUAGUAUAGAAC